Molecule: small nuclear RNA, 115 nt
Organism: Ostrea edulis (European flat oyster)
Lineage: Eukaryota; Metazoa; Mollusca; Bivalvia; Ostreida; Ostreidae
Product: U5 spliceosomal RNA
Exons: 1
Source: RefSeq, a predicted model, not a curated record
AUCCUUUGUUUUCUCUUCAGACCACGGUUAAAUCUUUCACCUUUUACUAAAGAUUUUCGUGGAAAGUAACAUUUACUGGGUCUAUCGAUUUAUUUUUCCUUAUGUCUUCAGGAUG